Molecule: ribosomal RNA, 274 nt
Filed under: uncultured bacterium
Lineage: Bacteria
Description: partial 16S ribosomal RNA
Rfam family: Bacterial small subunit ribosomal RNA
Source: RNAcentral
AUACAGAGGGUGCGAGCGUUAAUCGGAAUUACUGGGCGUAAAGCGCGCGUAGGCGGCUUCUUAAGUCAGAUGUGAAAUCCCCGGGCUCAACCUGGGAACUGCAUCUGAUACCGGGUAGCUAGAGUUUUGGAGAGGGAAGUAGAAUUUCAGGUGUAGCGGUGAAAUGCAUAGAGAUCUGAAGGAAUACCAGUGGCGAAGGCGACUUCCUGGCCAAAAACUGACGCUGAGGUGCGAAAGCGUGGGUAGCAAACGGGAUUAGAAACCCUUGUAGUCC